Long non-coding RNA from Trichechus manatus latirostris (Florida manatee), 1556 nucleotides. RefSeq lists it as uncharacterized. The record is from RefSeq and is a predicted model, not a curated record. NCBI's taxonomy places the organism in Eukaryota, Metazoa, Chordata, Mammalia, Sirenia, Trichechidae. The transcript is spliced from 3 exons.
CAGGAUCCCAAGAGAACUAUGGCUCUGAGCCAGCAGCUGCUGUCAUCAACAGCCUGCCCCAGGCCUGGGACACCUCUGAGCCUCCAUUGGUGGGGCCUUCACUGCCCAGCCCUGCUCAGCCCUGGCAUGCAAGGAGGUCAGCCAGGAGAACAGCACCCAGCUGUGGGGUGAGGCAGAGUCAGAGGCCAAAAGAGUGAUGAUCCUUCAGAACACUUCAGUCUCCCUGCUGACCUGUGAAUGUGAGAGAACUACACGGUAGAAACAAGAUUCCUCUGGCACCAUCGGACAUCACGUGAGGUUGAAGGCCAUCGCACUCAACUUCUGACCUCGAGGGGUGCUCCUUGCCCAGAUUCUUGGAGGAAGAAUUUAAAAAAUAUAUGGAAGUUUCACGGUGACAUAUUUUGGCUCAAUAUAACAGUUAACCAGUUGCCCUUGAGUCAUCUCCAACUCAUGGCGACCCCAUGAGUGUCAGAGCAGAACUGUCUCCACAGGGUUUUCAAUGGCUGUUUUUUUGGAAGUAGAUAUCCAGGCCUUUCUUCUGAGGAAACUCUGAGUCGACUCAAAUCUCCAACAUUUCAGUCAACAGCUGAGCACACCAACUGUUUACACCACCAGGCUCAAUAUAGGGAAGGACUUUCUUACAAAAAAGGCAAAGGCUAUCCUAAAUUCUCCACCGUGAACAUGUUUUCAGUAGAACCUGGACAACAGUCAGCCUGGAUGUUUUCAAGGGGUGGACUUCAGCAGUCACAGUUGACGGCCUUCCCAUAUACUCCCCAUGGCUUCAAACUGUAGGAACACGGAACUCUGUCUCAAGCCUUUCUCUGAUGGAAGGAGCCAGCCAGAAAUGUCAGGGAGUUAAGGGCCUACUGGGAACAGCCCUCAGCCAGGGACUGACAAUAGUUGGAGGAUAAAUACCCCAGCUCUCUCACCUUUCAAGUGGGACAACUUUGAGACAAGUUCUAUACCCAGCCAGAGGUCCCCAGUGGGAAUGGGCUGGCUGCCCAGAGCAGUCAUUAAUGCUUCGUUCUAUUUGCUUCUUUCCCAAACCACAUUCUGGGCUCCCCUGCCAGAGCUUCCAGAAUCACCUCCAAAAUAAGUUCCUUGUGCUCAAAUCCUUGUCUCAGGGUUUGCUAUUAGGGGAGCCCAAUCUGAGAAAGCGGGUUUGUGUACUGGGAUGGUUAAGUUGUGAGGGAAGGAAAACUGGAUCUCACCCUCUACGGCCUUGAAAGCUGAACCUAAGGAGAAUAAGAAAGGAAGAGGAUCCCUAAUGAUUAGGAGAAGAAGAGGCUGAGGCUAGAAUAUUGUUAGGGAUCACUGACUAUGCUAUGAGGACCAGGAAGAGCUGCCUCAGGUGUGACACCAAGAGAGCAGUCCUGGAAGUCCCCACCCUCACCUUCCCAGAGGGCAUGGCGACUUGUUAGAAAAUGACACAGCCUAAAUCUCAGAAAAGAUGGUAUUUGAAAACUUUCACAGCUAUUCCUUAGACCUCUGACUUCAGUUUGCUCUUUCAUCUCAAGAGUUUCAUAAAACUGUGUGUGUGUUUAAAAAUAUAUUAA